This 514-nucleotide ribosomal RNA is filed under the name uncultured Paraglomus. RNAcentral's name for it is "SSU rRNA". It matches the Rfam family "Eukaryotic small subunit ribosomal RNA", at positions 569 to 1088 of the family's 1831-position model. The record is from RNAcentral. Lineage: Eukaryota; Fungi; Glomeromycota; Glomeromycetes; Paraglomerales; Paraglomeraceae.
AGCAGCCGCGGUAAUUCCAGCUCCAAUAGCGUAUAUUAAAGUUGUUGCAGUUAAAAAGCUCGUAGUUGAACUUCAGGCCUGGCUGGAUGGUCCGCCUUCUGGGUGAGUACUGUCUGUGGUCGGGUCCUACCUUCUGGCGAAGCGUCAUGGCCUUAACCGGCCGUGGCGGGGAGCCAGGACUUUUACUGUGAAAAAUUAGAGUGUUCAAAGCAGGCACGCGCUUGAAUACAUUAGCAUGGAAUAAUGGAAUAGGACAGUGGUUCUAUUUGUUGGUUUCUAGGACCGUUGUAAUGAUUAAUAGGGAUAGUUGGGGGCAUUAGUAUUCAAUUGUCAGAGGUGAAAUUCUUGGAUUUAUUGAAGACUAACUACUGCGAAAGCAUUUGCCAAGGAUGUUUUCAUUAAUCAAGAACGAAAGUUAGGGGAUCGAAGACGAUCAGAUACCGUCGUAGUCUUAACCAUAAACUAUGCCGACUAGGAAUCGGGCGAUGUUGACAAAAUGACGCGCUCGGCACCU